Non-coding RNA from Hysterangium stoloniferum, 72 nucleotides. Lineage: Eukaryota; Fungi; Basidiomycota; Agaricomycetes; Hysterangiales; Hysterangiaceae. The record is from the annotation of a GenBank genome assembly.
GGUCAGAUGGUGUAAUGGGUAACACCCCUGCUAUAUACGCAGAAGCCCUGGGUUCAAUCCCCAGUCUGGCCA